This is an RNA transcript of Formica exsecta, 1833 nucleotides long. RefSeq lists it as uncharacterized. The transcript is spliced from 6 exons. The record is from RefSeq and is a predicted model, not a curated record. Lineage: Eukaryota; Metazoa; Arthropoda; Insecta; Hymenoptera; Formicidae.
CCUUUGCGGUCUAUCCUUCUUUUUUUCUCGCGCAAUUGAAUCUUUGCGGUCAAUUUUUCUUUUUUCUCGCACGUGUGCGCAUCAAUAGUAAUCAAGGGAUUAUUAACUGAUUGCUCGUCGAGCUGCGGCUCAGGGACACUUUUUGCCGUGCAAUCUUCCGUUCGUCGUCGUCGUCGACUUAGCUCGCCCAUCCAUCGUAGGCGCGUAUAAAAGGACCGUAGUGGAACGCGAUCCGGAGCAGUGUAGCACGACGUAUGUCCGGUCUCGUGCCUCUCGUCUCGUCCUCCCCGAGUGAUCGAUCUCGCGUAACGCGUUACACGUACGUAAAUAUACGUAUAGAGCCGUUCCCUCACACGAGCGACAGCAUACCGUGAGAUCACCGUGAGUUCUCGGUUCGCUGACAACGCUAUAAAAGAUGUCGCAGCCGGAACAAGGUGGCAGUGCGCAGUGCGACAAGGACAUGUCGACGUCAAAAAGUAGCUCGAUGUUGCGCCUGAAUCAGGAGGGCCGUCGCGGCUCCGCCGACUGGCAGGACCAGGGCGACAGCGACUCGGAAAUCAGCGAGAACGAUUUUCUCACCAAGGGCGCCUUCCUGCUCACCCCGAGCCACGAGCUCAGCAUGGAGAAGGCCGCCACCAUCUGCGAGAAGAUGAACUUCCGAGGCGCAUUUUCUUUGACGAAAACCGCCACCGGCAUUCUCUUCAAGUUCAGCAACAUCGAGGACUUUCAGGCCGUGUUUAAAAAGGGUUUUCACAAAGUGACAGGCGCUCGUUUCUACAAAAAGGUCGCUAUACCGUGUAGACCGGCAAAGAUCUUCACCGUCUAUGUUCUUGAUGUGCCCGAGGAAUUGCCGGAGGACGAUAUUAGACACGCUCUCUACAAAUAUCGAUCUAUCGUCGAAGUAACCAGGCUACCCCUGAAUACGGGAACUGUUUUGAAGGCCAUCAAUGACAAGUUAAAGAGCGACGCGCAGAAUCUCAACGAGCCGGCGACGAUUUAUACGGGGCCACCCGUUAUAAGGGUUACCCUGGCCAACGUCGAGGAGACCUCGAUGCUGCUGAGCCGUGGUUUGGAUUUUUAUGGGGCCACAUAUUUUCCCACCGAAACGCCCCAUUCAGCCGCUCAACCCCUCGCCAAAUACAAAAACAACAGAUGGAUCGAGCUGGCGUCGAUCGGCACGGGACAAAGAGUGAGGGACCUACUUCCGGUCUUUGACAACGCAGGCUUCAACAAAUUGCCACCUCCGGCGAGCCGUGUAAUAAAACCGCAAAGAAACUGACACGUUCCCCCUUCCCCCCUUCCCGGCUGACACCCCGAAUUCUUCGACGGCCGCCACCGCCACCGCCGCCACCGCGAUCGAUAGUGGCGGCGAAUCGAGGGAGGACGCCAUCGCGAGAACGACGCUACGACCUGAGGAUGACGACGCCAACGCAGACUAGCUCGAUCGAAAUUCAGAAAAUGACACAAGGAUUCAAUUCGAGCGAUUUUAAUCCUUCGUCGAUCGCGAUGUUCGAGAGAAGAGAAUCAGCCAUUCGUGCACUUAGAGAUAAUGCAUGAGAUCUCCAUCUUUUUAAAAGAAGGAGUCUAUAGAGGAACACUAGUCCCGAGGCAAUGCGGAUACAAGUAGCAGAACAGCAACGCCGGACGGAAGCUCAACUGAUUACUUACACGACACUAAGCGAGACUUCUUCAAAGGCGACGAGUGCACGCUGUCUCAAAUUAAAGAGGGACGACCAUGACUCUCUCUCUCUCUCUCUUUCUCUCUUGUUCGUUACUACCGUCUAUCCGCUGUAUCCGCGAAGCAACCCCCGAGGAUACCACAAGCCUUUGGUC